RNAcentral lists this ribosomal RNA (460 nucleotides) under uncultured bacterium. RNAcentral describes it as "bacterial SSU rRNA". It matches the Rfam family "Bacterial small subunit ribosomal RNA", at positions 917 to 1382 of the family's 1533-position model. The record is from RNAcentral.
GGACCCGCACAAGCGGUGGAUUAUGUGGUUUAAUUCGAUGCAACGCGAAGAACCUUACCAAGCCUUGACAUCCGAGGCGAAGCUCUGGAGACAGAGCGGAGGCUAUCCGAAGGACAGGUGGUGCAUGGUUGUCGUCAGCUCGUGUCGUGAGAUGUUGGGUUAAGUCCCGCAACGAGCGCAACCCCUGUCUUCAGUUACCAUCAUUCAGUUGGGGACUCUGGAGAGACUGCCGGUGACAAACCGGAGGAAGGUGGGGAUGACGUCAAAUCAGCAUGCCCCUUAUGGCUUGGGCUACACACGUAAUACAAUGGCGCAUACAAAGGGCAGCGAUCCUGUGAAGGUGAGCGAAUCUCAUAAAGUGCGUCUCAGUUCGGAUUGGAGUCUGCAACUCGACUCCAUGAAGUCGGAAUCGCUAGUAAUCGUGGAUCAGCAUGCCACGGUGAAUACGUUCCCGGGUCUU